This 252-nucleotide ribosomal RNA is filed under the name uncultured bacterium. Its description in RNAcentral is "partial 16S ribosomal RNA". It matches the Rfam family "Bacterial small subunit ribosomal RNA", at positions 524 to 776 of the family's 1533-position model. The record is from RNAcentral.
UACGAAGGGGGCUAGCGUUGCUCGGAAUCACUGGGCGUAAAGGGUGCGUAGGCGGGUCUUUAAGUCAGGGGUGAAAUCCUGGAGCUCAACUCCAGACUGCCUUUGAUACUGAAGAUCUUGAGUUCGGGAGAGGUGAGUGGAACUGCGAGUGUAGAGGUGAAAUUCGUAGAUAUUCGCAAGAACACCAGUGGCGAAGGCGGCUCACUGGCCCGAUACUGACGCUGAGGCACGAAAGCGUGGGGAGCAAACAGG